AGUUAUUGUUAGCUAGGAGGAAGACAUGGAGGGUUCAACGCUGACACAGAGGAGGGCUGAGUGUCAGUUGAAGGAAAGGGAUAUCCAGACAGAAUACAUGAUGGAGCUGGGAGCCAGGUUGGCUCUGGUGAGACAGAUCCAGAGGGAGCAGGAGAAGGAGAUGAAGAGGAUUUGGUUUGAGACGAGGAAAAUGCCAAGCCUGAUUGAGGAGAAUGUGAGAGAUGUGACCAACCGUCCACUCACUGAGUUCAUGGCUCCCUGUAUUGACUCCCUCCCACCGCUGGCUUUCACCAAUCGGAGGCCUAUACCAACCAUGUUACAUCCCCCCUCUCCAUUGGCCAUACGCGCUCAGGAUGCACAGCGGUUCAUUGUAUUUUCAUACUUUGUCCCUGCUGAGUGCCCAGUUGCCACAGCAGAUGUAUCCACUGGUAAAAGAGAGGACUUAUUGACAGAUACGCAUCUUUCCUCAAUGCUGCAUCGACACCUGCCACACUUCUUUAAUGAUGACUCCAUUCCACCACAGCAGACAGUAGAGGGAACCACUGAGCUCUCAGUUGCUCCAGUGGCAAUAUCUAAUAUAAAGGAAGAGGACAGAUUCUAUCCUUUCUCACUCCCACCACUGGCUCAGCGGUUCGUUGGCAAUUCAUUCAUUGUCCCAGAAACCUCCCAGCCUGCUGUUUCAGCCACAGAGUGCCGAGUUGCCAAAGAGGCCACUGCAGACACAGCCACUGUCAAGAGAGAGAACCGAUGGGCAGCCAGAAGUCUUCCUUCAGUGCUGCCUCCAUGCCUGCCACCAGUCUUUGACGAUGACUUCAUGCCUCCAGAGCAGACAGUAGAGGAUGCCUAUGAGGUCUCAGGUGCUACAGAGAACACUUCAGGCACAGCUACUGUUGGUGGAGUGGACAGAUCAACAGCUAAAUGCCCUGUCCCAAUGCUGCCUCCAAGUCUGCCACCUGUCUUUGACAAUGACUACAAACUGCCAGAGGAGGCAGUAGAGGGAACCAACAAGUGUCCAGUCGCCAGUGAAUCUGCCGCUUCCGUGUCCGCUGUCCUCCAAGAGGAGUUUUCAGCUGAUAAGAGUCUUCCUGCACCCGCAGCACUGCCUCUAAGGCUGCCCUGCACCCACAGCAUUGACCACAAACAGCUGUGGGAGAAAGUUGAGGACAACACAGAGUUCUCAGUAGACAAAGAAGCAACUGUUGCCAUUUACACUUGGGAAGAUAAAAGUCCUUCAGUUCUGCCAUGCAUCCACAACAACAACGACCACCAUCUGCCAGAGGAGACAGUUGAGGACAACACAGAGUGCUCAGUUGACACCGAGGCAAGUGCAGUUGCAUCCACUGUCAAGAGAGAGGAACUGACAGGUGAUAAAAGCCCUGUCCGAACAAUUCCUCCAAUCCUGGGAUGCAUCCAUGACAAGGACCACAAGGAGCCAGAGCAGAAAGUGAAGGGCCCUAGUGAAGAGGUGGAUCUCUGCCCUCACGCUCACCAGCUGGACCCAGAUGUUAACUUAACUCUGGCAACCCGCAAUGAUGAACCCAGGACCUGGACCCUGGAAGAGGCAAAGGUAGGUGUCCUAUUUUACACUAAUACUUUAACAGGUAUGGGGGUCAGUUCCAUUUCAAUUCAAAGCAUUGAAGAGAAUUGGAAUUUUAGAGUUCUUCUUGAAUUGACUGGAAUUGACCCCAACCUUGCUGCUCUUUGCUCAUAGUAUGAAACAUCACCCCUCACUUGAGUUAACAUUUGUAAAACAAGGGACCUUAAUUACUGUCCUCCAAAUUGUGUGCCCCAUGAGGUCAUCAUUGUAUGUCGAUCACUCAAAUGUGUAUUGAACGUGACACAUUGGAACAAUAUUACAUCUAGAGUCAAUGUCUUCCUGUCAGGAUUAUUGGAUAGGCAUUGAAAUUGAGAGUGAAGAGAGAAGCGUCAAGGAGGAGGUGAGACAGAGGGAGGGAUUGAAGCGUGAGGCGGACUGUGCCCAUUCCAAGAGCUCCAAUGGGAUGGCUUCAUCAGAGAGAGCAGAGACCAUCCUUGGAAGAGUGGGCUUUCUGGUCAUGAACCACAUGCAGAAAAUCCCAUUUUUGAAGAUGAAGGAAAAAGAGAAAAAUAAGAAACUGCAUAAGAAGUUGAAAGAUGAUGAGAAAGAGAGAAAGGAGAAGAAAAACAAGGAGGAGGAGAACAAAAAGAGGGAGAAGAAAGAGAUGAAUGAGAGAGAGAAAGAGCAGAAGAAAUUCAUGAAGGCUGAGAAAAAGAGGGAGAAGUUAGAACAGAAAAAGAGAGAGAAGGAAAGAAAAGAGAAGGAAAAGGCAGAGAAAAAGAGGUUAGAGGGGCUGAUGACGAUACAUAAUGACAUGAUGAAAGACAGGAUUAAGAAAGAGAAGCGGUGUUCUGAGGAGCUGAAAAAGAGAGAGAAAGCUCAAGCUGAGUUCUUGGAGAUGGAGAGAAAGAUUCAAGAAAAGGAGGAGAAGAAGAGAGAAAAGAGGAGGAAAGAGGAGAGGAAGAGACUAGAGAAGAAGAAAAAGAGUGAGCCAGCUGGAGGUGGAACUGAGAGGGUGAUAGAAUAGCAGGGAAAGGAUGAACGCUUGAAGAUGGAUGAGUAGAUUGGGUAUUAGAGAGAGAGAGCAGGGCGGGAUACUGUAUUUUUGCAUGCAAUGAAAAAUGCAAUAAAAAAAUCAAUAAAAAAGGUUUACUCUCUGUUUGAUUUUUGUCAAGGCAUACUGUAUAACACAGUAUAAACACACAAUGUAUACAUUUCACAAAUCUGGGGAGUGUUGCACUGUUAAAAUGUUGAAUUCCAAAUCUACCCGAUGGAGCGGAGCUAUUCUGAGAUGAGGAGGACGGAAAGGGAGGGGGAGUAGAUGGAGGGUAGAGAUGAGUUUGUUAGAGAGGAAAUUGAUAGAGAUGAAUAUGACACAGAGGAAUAUGAUAGAGAGGAAUAUGAUAGAGUGUAAUACGAUAGAGAGGAAUAUGAUAGAGAGGAAUAUGAUAGAGAGGAAUAUGAUAGAGGGGAAUAUGAUGAAGGGAAGAUGAUAGAGAGGAAUAUGAUAGAGUGGAAAACGAUAGAGAGGAAUAUGAUAGAGUGGAAUACGAUUGAGAGGAAUAUGAUAAAGAGGAAUAUGAUAGAGAGGAAUAUGAUAGAGAGGAAUAUGAUAGAGUGGAAUAUGAUAGAGUGGAAUACGAUAGAGAGGAAUAUGAUAGAGAGGAAUAUGAUAUAGAGGAAUAUGAUACAGAUGAAUAUACUAGAGAUACUAGAGAGGAAAUGAUAUUUUAUUUAACUGAACAUUUAUUUAACUAGGCAAGUCAGUUA
Oncorhynchus mykiss (rainbow trout) is the source of this 3307-nucleotide long non-coding RNA. NCBI's taxonomy places the organism in Eukaryota, Metazoa, Chordata, Actinopteri, Salmoniformes, Salmonidae. The record is from Ensembl.